UGAGGAAUAUUGGUCAAUGGACGAGAGUCUGAACCAGCCAAGUAGCGUGCAGGAUGACGGCCCUAUGGGUUGUAAACUGCUUUUACGCGGGGAUAAAGUGCGUGACGUGUCGCGCAUCGCAGGUACCGCGUGAAUAAGGACCGGCUAAUUCCGUGCCAGCAGCCGCGGUAAUACGGAAGGUCCGGGCGUUAUCCGGAUUUAUUGGGUUUAAAGGGAGCGCAGGCCGCCCGAUAAGCGUGUUGUGAAAUGUACCGGCUCAACCGGUGAGUUGCAGCGCGAACUGUCAGGCUUGAGUGCACGGUAAGCAGGCGGAAUUCAUGGUGUAGCGGUGAAAUGCUUAGAUAUCAUGAGGAACUCCGAUUGCGAAGGCAGCUUGCUGCAGUGCGACUGGCGCUUAGGCUCGAAGGUGCGGGUAUCAAACAGG
Molecule: ribosomal RNA, 424 nt
Filed under: Verrucomicrobiota bacterium
Lineage: Bacteria; Pseudomonadati; Verrucomicrobiota
Description: Verrucomicrobia bacterium partial 16S ribosomal RNA
Rfam family: Bacterial small subunit ribosomal RNA
Source: RNAcentral